AUGCACUGUGCAGCACACAGAGAAGGCUUCCUGCUCAUCCAAGAGACUUCGUGCUGGCUUGCAGGGCACCGGAUGGACAAAGCCAUGGAGCAAAUCAGGACUUUGCUGUACAGGAGGUUGCUCUUGAUGGGAUUCCUCUCUCAUUCAUCACAGAAUCUGGAAGCUGGAUCUUGGGUUCCACUGUGUGCUCUCCUCUUUCCCCCUGACAGAGCAGAGGAAAGGAUGAGGUGUGACAAAAUGCAAUGCAGUUUUCUUUCUGCCAUUCCUGAGGAAGAAAUCUUGGGACGAGAGGAAGCAGAAGGACUACUGCUCUCAGGAGAGCUGCACUGGGACUGGUCUCUUUGCUCCUCUACCCUAUUUCCAUAGGAGGUGAAGAGUCCUGCAUGCUUCUGCUUGGUUUCCUGCAGGAUUGCUCUUCACUGGAAGGUGGGAAAAAGGGGGCAGCAUCCAUUCAGAAGGAUUCCUACCCCUGCUGAGCUCAACUGCAAGAGGCCUGUACAUACCUUGUCAUGUAAGGGUGGCCUCAGCCACAGGUGAAGGCUCCCAUGACCAGGGAGAGUUGCCUGAAGUUGCAUCCUCUUUGCUGAAAUGUAUGUUGCAAACAGAAUAAAUGAAAGGAAGACAAAAUAAAUAAAUAAAUA
Molecule: long non-coding RNA, 641 nt
Filed under: Anas platyrhynchos platyrhynchos (common mallard)
Lineage: Eukaryota; Metazoa; Chordata; Aves; Anseriformes; Anatidae
Description: lncRNA (ENSAPLG00000030452.1)
Source: RNAcentral